Molecule: unclassified non-coding RNA, 23 nt
Filed under: Mus musculus (house mouse)
Lineage: Eukaryota; Metazoa; Chordata; Mammalia; Rodentia; Muridae
Description: oocyte_clustered_small_RNA7289
Source: RNAcentral
UCCACAUGGUUGGGCAGUCACUG